RNAcentral lists this transfer RNA (60 nucleotides) under Pseudoniphargus cupicola. RNAcentral describes it as "tRNA-Thr". It matches the Rfam family "tRNA". From Rfam's summary of the family: Transfer RNA (tRNA) molecules are approximately 80 nucleotides in length. Their secondary structure includes four short double-helical elements and three loops (D, anti-codon, and T loops). The record is from RNAcentral. Lineage: Eukaryota; Metazoa; Arthropoda; Malacostraca; Amphipoda; Allocrangonyctidae.
GUCUUUAUAGUUUAAUAAAAACGUUAGUCUUGUAAACUAAAAUUGCCUUUUCUAAAGACU